This 385-nucleotide long non-coding RNA is filed under the name Brassica napus (rape). RNAcentral's name for it is "long non-coding RNA (BNAP_LNC017163)". The record is from RNAcentral. Lineage: Eukaryota; Viridiplantae; Streptophyta; Magnoliopsida; Brassicales; Brassicaceae.
UCGAGCAAUAUUGCUUUAGAAAAAUACAGUUUGUGUAAUGAUGUCUUAUAAAUUUAAGAACUUUACUUUAGAAUCUGUGUGAGUUCAUCAAUAAAGAAACGUGAAAGAGAAGACAACCUCUAAACUUCCUCGUUUCGUUUUGAUAUGCAACAUUUAUAAUGCAUAUCAAGGAAAUUAAUCAGUUGCGAGAGAAGAAUUGAAGGUUUUGUUUCAUUCACCAUGAAUGGAAGAGAUCUUGAUACAUCUUAUAUAUACAACAAACUGAUGAACGAAAGCAAAACAUGAAUCCACAACAUGACAACAUGAAUACAUUAACACGUAACAAUUUUUUUACAUAAACAUAUAUUUUGUUUGUAAAAAAACAUGUAUUAUACAUAAAAAUUGG